UGUACCGUCGGUAUAAAUAUC
This 21-nucleotide non-coding RNA is filed under the name Caenorhabditis elegans. Lineage: Eukaryota; Metazoa; Nematoda; Chromadorea; Rhabditida; Rhabditidae. The record is from RNAcentral.